AGGCCUAUAGCUCAACUGGUAGAGCACGAGACUUUGACUCUCGGGGUUCUUGGUUCAAGUCCAAGUAGGUCUGCCA
RNAcentral lists this transfer RNA (76 nucleotides) under Syntrophomonadaceae bacterium. Its description in RNAcentral is "tRNA-Gln". It matches the Rfam family "tRNA". From Rfam's summary of the family: Transfer RNA (tRNA) molecules are approximately 80 nucleotides in length. The record is from RNAcentral. Lineage: Bacteria; Bacillati; Bacillota; Clostridia; Eubacteriales; Syntrophomonadaceae.